This is a non-coding RNA of Acanthosepion pharaonis, 99 nucleotides long. Lineage: Eukaryota; Metazoa; Mollusca; Cephalopoda; Sepiida; Sepiidae. The record is from the annotation of a GenBank genome assembly.
GUUGAAACAUUGGUUCCCGUACGAUCAACGAAGUUAAGCAAUGUCGAAACUGGUCAGUACCUAGAUGAGUGACCUCUUGGGAAUAACUCCUGCUGUAAG